RNAcentral lists this unclassified non-coding RNA (392 nucleotides) under uncultured Chytridiomycota. Its description in RNAcentral is "sequence contains ITS1". The stretch from base 1 to 93 matches the Rfam family "5.8S ribosomal RNA", at positions 50 to 154 of the family's 154-position model. Lineage: Eukaryota; Fungi; Chytridiomycota. The record is from RNAcentral.
GAAAUGCGAUACGUAAUGUGAAUUGCUUUCCGUGAAUCAUCAAAUCUUUGAACGCAUAUUGCACUCAUUUAGAGUAUGCCUGUUUGAGAAUCUAUAGUAAAUCUUAUUCCUUUUUUGACUGUGAAAACAGAAGCACUAGCGAAUAGAUAUGAAGCAUCCCUCCUCUUGUAGAAGGGUCCUUUGAAAUAGAUUGCUUGUAAUUUUAGAAGAAUGCUUGACAUUCCUCAUUAACCUUGCAGAAAAGUAUGUGAAUGGAACUUCUGUUUCUCAUUAUGCCUAUUAGUAAGGGAGGAGUUUAGUUUGACUAUUGUUAGGAGUUCUUAACCAUAAAUUGUUUAAUUACAAUUUGAACACAUGGUCUCAAAUCAGGUAGGAAGACCCGCUGAACUUAA